CAUCCAUGUGAUGGAGAGGAUCGGUAUCGUGCCUACCCAACUUGCUAUAUAUGCACUGUGCUUAAUUCAUCUCUGUACUCUUCAUCUUCUACACUUUCCACCGUUGUUGGUGCUUCUGAUAUUUUCUCCAAAUGGUUGGUGUGGAAUUCAAAUAACACCUUUUCCUUUCCACUGUUGCAUACACAAAUUUUUCCAAACAUAUAUAUUUAUAUAUACUCAAUAAUAGUUCAGUCUUUCAAGCAAUCCUUGCUUGAUUUCCUUAAUCCACAAUUCUUUCUUCUCACUGCACUGUCCCUAAUUUAAUGUAAAAUUCAUUUUGUUCAAGCUCUCAGAGCAACAUUGCUUGUUUUCUAUUUUUUCAAUCUCUCAAUUCUUGUUGGGUUUCUUUAAUCUUUGUUGAAAUGGGUAGUGUUGGGGUGUUGACCAAUUCAACAAUGAUUUGUGCUCCAUUGAUGAGUCAAUCUGUGGAGCAAAUGGUGAGUGACAUGAAUCAGGCAAAGGCACAAGGUGCAGAUGUGGUUGAGAUCAGGCUGGAUUGUAUAAAGGACUUCCAGCCAAGUCGAGACCUCCAAAUCCUCCUCAACAAUAAGCCACUCCCUGUUCUCAUUGUCUAUAGGCCACAAUGGGAAGGUGGUCAGUAUGGCGGUGAUGAAAACAUGCGGUUGGAUACACUUCGUUUAGCUAAAGAACUGGGAGCAGAUUAUAUUGAUUUGGAGCUCAAGGUAGCUUCUCAUCUAAUGGAGGAACACAAUCCAAAUAAGCGUAGAAGUAGCAAAAUAAUUGUAUCACGCUAUAUAGAUGGCACAACUCCUUCAGAAGAAGAUCUCAGUCAACUUGUUGCCCACAUGCAAUCAACUGGAGCAGAUAUCAUCAAACUUGUCUCCAAAUCAAGUAGCAUUACAGAGCUACCAAGAUUUUUUCAUUUGCUUUCGCAUUGUCAGAUACCGCUAAUCACUUACUCUAUCGGGGAUAGAGGUCUUAUAAGUCAAUUAUUGGGCCCAAAAUUUGAUGGCUUUUUAAUCUAUGGGUCUAUUGAAGGAAAUCCGGUGCCUGGUCUGCCUACUUUGCAUAACCUUCGACACGCUUAUGGAGUUGAUUAUUUAAAUGCAGAAACUAAAGUUUUUGGGCUGAUCUCAAAACCAGUGGGCCACAGCAAAGGUCCCCUUCUCCAUAAUCCUACCUUUAGACAUGUGGGCUACAAUGGAAUUUACGUCCCAAUGCUUGUAGAUGAUCUCGAGGAGUUUUUUAGUGUUUACUCAAGCCCUGACUAUGCAGGUUUCAGUGUAGGAUUUCCAUACAAGGAAACUGUAACUGCAUUUUGUGAUGAAGUCGAUCCACUUGCUCAGUCUAUAGGUGCUGUAAAUACUAUUAUAAGGCGGCAUAGUGAUGGGAAGCUGGUUGGUUACAACACAGAUUGUGAGGCUUCUAUAACUGCAAUUGAGGAUGAUCUGAAAGUGUGGGGAUGCACUAAUGGGGAAGUAUUGCUCCCAUCUCCGCUCACUGGGAAAAUGUUUGUGCUUGUUGGCGCUGGAGGGGCUGGAAGAGCACUGGCAUUUGGUGCUAAAAGCAGAGGAUUCCUGCAAAUAUUAGAAGACAAAGUACUAUUGAAUAUUGAUUACUAUUGUGAUUUGUAUUUUAAUACCUUGUACCUUGUUUUAUUUCAUUAUUUUAACACAUUUUCUGUUUUUGGUACCACUUAACCUUGCAAGUGAGAAUUGUUUCUCAUAUUUUCACCAUUGGGAAUGCAUCCAAAUACAGAUCGAAUUCCUGUGGCCAAGGGGACUUUGGGUGAUUACAAAGUUGUCUUUGAUGCCGUUUACAUGCCUAGAAAAACCACCCUGUUAAAAGAAGCUGAGGCUGCUGGAGCCAUCAUUGUCAGUGGAGUUGAAAUGUUCCUCCGUCAAGCCAUUGAACAGUUCAAUCUCUUCACUGGUGGGAAAGCACCUCAAGAAUUCAUGCAGAGAACUAUUUUCGCAAACUUCUGAUUCACCAUACAUAAUGUUGUGUAAACUUAAUUUAUCUAUAGUUUAUUGGCCAUCAAUAGUUUAUUGGUCUGGCCUACAAUAAACAACUUAAUAAUUCACAAAUAAGAAGGAUAAAUUAUUUACAAUGCAUUUCUCCUAUGAUUGUUGUUAAACUAACACACUACGGGGUGAUAAGAUGAUCAGUUUGGAAUUAAGAUUUUGCUUGUGGAUGACAAUGAAAAUUAUUGCCCAGUGUAUGGUGUGAAAAUUUUCGAUUCAA
Non-coding RNA from Camellia sinensis, 2244 nucleotides. The record is from RefSeq and is a predicted model, not a curated record. NCBI's taxonomy places the organism in Eukaryota, Viridiplantae, Streptophyta, Magnoliopsida, Ericales, Theaceae.